RNAcentral lists this long non-coding RNA (879 nucleotides) under Eutrema salsugineum. RNAcentral's name for it is "long non-coding RNA (ESAL_LNC001309)". Lineage: Eukaryota; Viridiplantae; Streptophyta; Magnoliopsida; Brassicales; Brassicaceae. The record is from RNAcentral.
UACCAUUUUUACAAAUUACAAACUUAAAAAUAUCUCUUUUCUAAACAAUCUGUUUUCUUUUUUAAUUCUCUGAGGGGGUGUAUGUUUUUUUUUUUUUUGUCGGCAACACAUAUCAUUAAAACAAUAAAACCCAGUGGGCAACAAAACAAGGUACACAAUUUUUUAAGCGCAAUUACAAACUCAAAACAUGUCUAGAAACACGCGUGACUAUAUCAAGUAAUAAGAAAUUCACGUGUCUGUCGUUGAGUUUGCCUUCAAUUCUUGCUGUUUCCAGCACCGUUCUCACCUCCGGCAUCUCCCGCUUUGUCUCCAACGAUUCCUAACUUUUACAGCAAAUUGAUUUGUACCUUGAGUCUUUCUUUUUGACGAUCUUCAAUUUCUGGAUAGAUUUUAGAAUUUAAAACGCGCAAAACAGAGUAAAUCACUUCUAAAAUUUAUUGAGAUUUCGAUUUUCAGAGAAGCUCAGCUGCCGUGAGAUCCAAUUUAUUGAUCUGAAAUUUUAACCAUUAUUGUUCUAGGCAAGAGGAAAAAUCAAGCGAAGAUAUUACUCCAAGUAAGAGAUGAAAUCUACAAUAAAUUUCAAAAGAAAAACCGAUAAUUCCAAUAAAAGAAGUAAAACAGCCGGCGAAGAGAUUGCAAAAGGUGGAGAUCCAGAUUUAGUCGGAAGAGAAAAUCCAAAACUAAAUUGAAAAUUUAUUAUCCGAUAAAAAUGGAAAAGAAAACCGAUUAAUUGAUCGGAAUUUACAAAAAAAAAUUAGAGAGAAAAAGUGUGCUCUUUCUCUUUCUCAAAGAUAGAGAUGAGAGAAGAGAUUGAGGAAAAAAAACUCUUCCGGGUUUAUGUAUUAUACCAACUCUGAGUUUUUUUAAUUUUGUUUUUUU